Long non-coding RNA from Cornus florida, 1681 nucleotides. RefSeq lists it as uncharacterized. The record is from RefSeq and is a predicted model, not a curated record. The transcript has 2 exons. Lineage: Eukaryota; Viridiplantae; Streptophyta; Magnoliopsida; Cornales; Cornaceae.
UAAGGAAGCUAGAGAGAGAGAGAGGGAGCUGAAUUCUAUAUAUAUUAUAUGUGUAUAUAUAUUGCAUGGGUAGAGACUCAGAGAGAUGAGUGAGGUGAGAGAAGUGAAAUAUGAGAGAGAGAAUGGGGAUGGGGGAGGGGUGGGUGGUGGUCAUUUGUGGAACCAACUCAUCAAAGAUGUAGUUGUAGGGUCGUGGGUGGUGGUCUGUUUCUAUGCUUUUAUGACUUUGUUUGUCCUUUUUUCACAAAAAUAGUUCUUUCUUUCUCCAUCCCUUUAUUUAUCAUCUCUAUCCUUUCCCUUCUUUCUCUAUCUCACACACCCCAAAUCAUACUUCUUCUACUGUAAUCACACAAACCCAUCUCUCUCUUUUUUUUUUUCUCUCUCUCUCCCUCACACACACAAAUAGUGUGCAAAAUACAGUUGAAUUACAGGUGAAGAAGAAGUGGAAGCCUUUCUCUAUUGAGGGGAAUGUUGUCUGGCUCGAGGUCACCAACUAGAUCUGAUCUAUCAUCUCAUCUCAAUUGAUCAAACAAUUGAGAUCGAGAAGUUGUUUGAUCAUGUGUUUGUGUCUCGGACCAGGCUUCAUUCCCCCCAAUUCUUGCUUCCAUUUUCACACAAAUCAUCCCUGGUUAAAGGAUCUGAAGCUGGGUUUUCUCCUCUCUCUCUCUCUCUAUAUAUAUAUCUGUUCUAAUAUGUACACACACAUAUAUAUGGAUAUAGAUAUAUAUGUAGGAAUUAGGUAAUGGGCAAGAGAAGAUUGGUAUAAUGAUGAACCAUUUUGACUGCUUUUCUGUCACAAAAGAGGGGAAAGCUAGGUGCUAUCAUCAUUACUCUUUUAACUUUUUUACUAAAUUUUAUUAGUGUUGUUAUGUUUCUUUUUGUCAGUCUCUCUAACUCUUUAUGAUGAUUUUGGUCAUGAUGUCUUCAAGAAUCUCCUCUGUCCGUUUCUGAACUGAUCUGCUUUGACUUUAUUAACAUUCAUCAUUACCUUAUGAUUUUCAUCCUUCUUCUUUUUCUUAUUAGGGUUUCAUGAUCUCCCUUGAAAACCUAUCUGAAAAUCAAUCAUCGGCCAUAAACAAAUGCUCUUAAUUUUCAUUUCUUAGCUUCUUCAUAAUUAAUUAGGUAUACACACACGUGUAUAUAUAUAUAUAUAUAUAUAUAUAUUCACAACUACAAUAAUAUAUACAAAUCCAUUUUUCAUAUUUCCUUUUGCAUCCUCGAUCCCACAACCGUUGGAUCGAAAGAUUGUGAAAGUGCGCUCCUGGAUCUAAGACUCAUUCAUGCUCACCUUGAGUUUACUACAUUAUCUGCUUCAUCUAGGGUUGAUUAAAAAAAUGUUAAUAUAUGAAAGUGUACUACUUCUACUGAUUGAAGAAAAAUCUGAAGAUGUUGUGCUUGAGAAGCAACCCUUCCGCCAUAGCAGUACAGCUUAUUAUCAGGAAAAGCAAAUUGUUUGAAUUUGAUUGAUGUGAGAGAUCGGACCUCUGAUGCUUGCGUAGACCUUGUAGUACUAUGCUUGAAUAGGUGCAAUUUGGACCUGAACUCUAUAUAUUCCUUUGUUUUUAGAUUUAAGUUCUACAUUUCAUGAUAUGUGAGUUUUUUUUUUUCUUCCCCUGGAAUUCAAGCAAUGUAAUAUCCUUGGAAUUUGUACUGACUUUCAUGAUUUCUUGUGGAGCAUUUA